GACGGAAGGUGCAAGCGUUGCUCGGAAUCACUGGGCGUAAAGGGUGCGUAGGCGGCUUGGUAAGUUGGGUGUGAAAGCCCCGGGCUCAGCCCGGGAAGGGCACUCGAAACUGCCGAGCCUGGAGUGCCGGAGGGGAGAGUGGAAUUCCUGGUGUAGCGGUGAAAUGCGUAGAUAUCAGGAGGAAUACCGGUGGCGAAAGCGACUCUCUGACGCACUGACGCUGAGGCACG
This 230-nucleotide ribosomal RNA is filed under the name uncultured bacterium. RNAcentral describes it as "partial 16S ribosomal RNA". It matches the Rfam family "Bacterial small subunit ribosomal RNA", at positions 524 to 755 of the family's 1533-position model. The record is from RNAcentral.